This 685-nucleotide ribosomal RNA is filed under the name uncultured Bacteroidota bacterium. RNAcentral's name for it is "bacterial SSU rRNA". It matches the Rfam family "Bacterial small subunit ribosomal RNA", at positions 90 to 773 of the family's 1533-position model. Lineage: Bacteria; Pseudomonadati; Bacteroidota. The record is from RNAcentral.
GGCGACCGGCAAACGGGUGCGGAACACGUACACAACCUCCCGAUAAGUGGGGAAUAGCCCAGAGAAAUUUGGAUUAAUACCCCGUAACAUUGCGAUGUGGCAUCACAUUGCAAUUAUAGCUUCGGCGCUUAUUGAUGGGUGUGCGUAUGAUUAGAUAGUUGGCGAGGUAACGGCUCACCAAGUCUACGAUCAUUAGCUGAUGUGAGAGCAUGAUCAGCCACACGGGCACUGAGACACGGGCCCGACUCCUACGGGAGGCAGCAGUAAGGAAUAUUGGUCAAUGGACGAAAGUCUGAACCAGCUAUGCCGCGUGAAGGAUUAAGGUCCUCUGGAUUGUAAACUUCUUUUAUAUGGGACGAAAAAAGGUCUUUCUAGAUCACUUGACGGUACCAUAUGAAUAAGCACCGGCUAACUCCGUGCCAGCAGCCGCGGUAAUACGGAGGGUGCAAGCGUUAUCCGGAUUCACUGGGUUUAAAGGGUGCGUAGGCGGGCAGGUAAGUCAGUGGUGAAAUCCUGGAGCUCAACUCCAGAACUGCCAUUGAUACUAUCUGUCUUGAAUAUUGUGGAGGUAAGCGGAAUAUGUCAUGUAGCGGUGAAAUGCUUAGAUAUGACAUAGAACACCUAUUGCGAAGGCAGCUUACUACGCAUAUAUUGACGCUGAGGCACGAAAGCGUGGGGAUCAAAC